AGAGUUUGAUCAUGGCUCAGGACGAACGCUGGCGGCGUGCCUAACACAUGCAAGUCGAGCGGAGUUUGGCCGGUUUUAAUUUCGGUUAAAACCGGCCAAACUUAGCGGCGGACGGGUGAGUAACACGUAGGUAACCUGCCCAUGACACGGGGAUAGCUUCGGGAAACCGAAGGUAAUACCCGAUACCUUUACGCAUCCAAUGGUGUGUAAAGAAAGCGAUUUAGCGGUCAUGGAUGGGCCUGCGUCCCAUUAGCUAGUUGGUGAGAUAACAGCCCACCAAGGCAACGAUGGGUAGCCGGCCUGAGAGGGCGACCGGCCACACUGGAACUUAGAUACGGUCCAGACUCCUACGGGAGGCAGCAGUGGGGAAUUUUGCGCAAUGGGGGAAACCCUGACGCAGCGACGCCGCGUGAGCGAUGAAGGCCUUCGGGUCGUAAAGCUCAGUCAUUGGGGAUGAAAAGGACAGUACCCAAAGAGGAAGCCCCGGCUAACUACGUGCCAGCAGCCGCGGUAAUACGUAGGGGGCGAGCGUUGUCCGGAAUUACUGGGUGUAAAGGGCGUGUAGGCGGGGAUGCAAGUUACCGGUAAAAACCCGUGGCUCAACCACGGGCUUGCCGAUAAAACUGCAUCUCUUGAGUGUAGGAGAGGGAAGUGGAAUUCCCGGAGUAGCGGUGAAAUGCGUAGAUACCGGGAGGAACACCAGUGGCGAAGGCGGCUUCCUGGCCUAUCACUGACGCUGAGGCGCGAAAGCUAGGGGAGCGAACGGGAUUAGAUACCCCGGUAGUCCUAGCCGUAAACGAUGGUCACUAGGUGUGGGUGGUGGUCAAGCCAUCCGUGCCGGAACUAACGCAAUAAGUGACCCACCUGGGGAGUACGGCCGCAAGGUUGA
RNAcentral lists this ribosomal RNA (889 nucleotides) under uncultured bacterium. RNAcentral describes it as "bacterial SSU rRNA". It matches the Rfam family "Bacterial small subunit ribosomal RNA", at positions 8 to 897 of the family's 1533-position model. The record is from RNAcentral.